Mesocricetus auratus (golden hamster) is the source of this 584-nucleotide long non-coding RNA. RefSeq lists it as uncharacterized. The transcript is spliced from 3 exons. Lineage: Eukaryota; Metazoa; Chordata; Mammalia; Rodentia; Cricetidae. The record is from RefSeq and is a predicted model, not a curated record.
GCUAUCCCUGGGAAGGUAGUCCUGGUUCUAUAGGGAAGCAGACUGAGUAAGCCAGGGGAAGCAAGCCAGUAAUCAGCUCUCCUCCAUGGCUUCUGCAUCAACUCCUGCCUCCUGCCUGACUUCCUGUUCUGACUUCCUCCAGUGAUGGACUGUGAUCUGGAAGUCCUCUGCUUCAGUUCCUGUCUUCGGGUUCCUAACUUGACUUCCUGCUCUGACUUAUCUGGAUGAUGGACUACAAUCUAAAUAGAAAAAACGUCAUAAAGACCCCAAUUAGUGAAAGCAAUCCAGAACUAAAAGAACAUCUCUGAAGGAUUACCACUUCAGAUUUGAAGCUACAUUGUACAAGGACAUAGCAACAGAACAGGAUUGCACAGGCAAAAUACAGACAUGUAGACCAUUGUACAAAUAUAGAAGACCCAAACACGAAUGCAUGUAACUGUAAUUAUAGAAUCUGAUAUUGAAUAAAGAGGCAAAAAAUAGAAGACAUACUGCAAAAAGACAACAUCUUCUACAGAUGGUGCUGGGAAACCUGAAUAUCAUUAUAGAAGAAGGAAAUUAAACCUGCAUAUAUCACCUCACACAAA